RNAcentral lists this ribosomal RNA (253 nucleotides) under uncultured bacterium. Its description in RNAcentral is "partial 16S ribosomal RNA". It matches the Rfam family "Bacterial small subunit ribosomal RNA", at positions 524 to 776 of the family's 1533-position model. The record is from RNAcentral.
UACGAAGGGUGCAAGCGUUACUCGGAAUUACUGGGCGUAAAGCGUGCGUAGGUGGUGAGUUAAGUCUGUCGUGAAAGCCCCGGGCUCAACCUGGGAAUGGCGAUGGAUACUGGCUCGCUAGAGUGCGGUAGAGGAGAGUGGAAUUCCCGGUGUAGCAGUGAAAUGCGUAGAGAUCGGGAGGAACAUCAGUUGCGAAGGCGGCUCACUGGACCGGAACUGACGCUGAGGCGCGAAAGCGUGGGGAGCAAACGGG